GAGAAUGCAGUGAUGGGGAGAAAGCAAUUCCCAGCCAGCUUCAGAGAGCCGCCGGAAGGUGCAAGGCGGUGCGGCAGGUUUUGCGUCACUGGCCCCGGAGCAGCCGCGUUGAUGGCCGGAUGGCUGUAGGUGCGGACGGAACCUGACCGUUAUCAUGCAGGCGCGAUUCGCCCGAUAGAGGCCGAUCGUACAGAGAGGCCGCCCGUUUGUACAGUGGCGGCAAUGAGAGUGGUACCGCGGGGUACAGCAAUUUGUAUUUGCUCCCGUCUCUCAA
This 274-nucleotide non-coding RNA is filed under the name Subdoligranulum variabile. RNAcentral describes it as "T-box sequence". It matches the Rfam family "T-box leader". Rfam says of the family: Uncharged tRNA acts as the effector for transcription antitermination of genes in the T-box leader family. T-boxes are found upstream of many aminoacyl-tRNA synthetase genes and some amino acid biosynthetic genes usually in Gram-positive bacteria. The anticodon of a specific tRNA base pairs to a specifier sequence within the T-box motif, and the NCCA acceptor tail of the tRNA base pairs to a conserved bulge in the T-box antiterminator hairpin. The record is from RNAcentral. Lineage: Bacteria; Bacillati; Bacillota; Clostridia; Eubacteriales; Oscillospiraceae.